CUCUGAUGUUGAUAACUUGGUUGUGUUAUACUUAAGGGUCCUGUUUUGGCUAGCUGUACACUGAUAAUGUAGAAAAGCAUCCUUGAGUGAUUGUUCAAGUGUUGCUUUUUUUGGUUUACAGGUAUACAAUCGAGAAGCUCAUAAACUGAUACUUUGAAUAACACUUUCAGAAAGACCUUCUAUAAUUUGAAGAUUAAAUGUUGUGCUUUGAGAGACCUGUAUUAACCUACCAUAAGAGAGCACUUCCCAAAUAUGUUUGUUAACAUGUGAGAGUUGGAACCAAGUCCUGAUUAAUUGUAUACAGCAGAUUAGUUAUUGAUGAAAAGGAAUCUGAGUGAGAGAUGAACCUCUUAGGAAGAUAAGCACAAUGGAUUCUAUGGUCUACAUCCCUUUCUUCUACCCUUGGCACUAUGGUCCCUUUCAUCCUGGAGCUGAUUGCAAGGUGGCAAGAUCUUAAUAUCUGGUUUGAGUUCAGGGUGAAGAAAAGAAUUCACUGGCCUGUCCUUUGACCAAAAGUUCCAACGUUCCCUUAGGAGAGUCGGUGGGCACUGCUCCACUUGGAAUUUCGUCCAGCGAUGCAGUCACCUUUCACACAAUGCACAAGGUCUUUAGAGCGUGGUGCUGGGUACAUAAUGUUAUGAGCUUCUUUAUAUCCAUUAGCCUUUCAGACCUGUUGACUCUUCGCCACCAUGGAUCACUGUGCUCCUUCUGACCCUAUCUGCCCCUCUGCUCAUCACCAUAAGUUCAGCUUAUUCGUACAUUUUCCUGUGUAAGCUCAUUCAAAUAGAAAUAGCAGGUGCAUAAUUGACCUCAUAAAUCCAAAUAUAAUUCUGAUUCACAUAGAUAUUGUCACACCUUUCAUUUCUCCUUAUGUCUCAGCAAUUGUUUAGAAAGGAGGCUCCUUGAAGACAUAGGUUAUGUGCUUUUUAUUUGAAUAUUAUUUGAGAGCUUACAAAGAUGAGUCAGUUGUUAAAAUAAACAAAUUCAGUUAAAAUACUACUUUGUGUUA
This 1009-nucleotide long non-coding RNA is filed under the name Felis catus (domestic cat). Its description in RNAcentral is "lncRNA (ENSFCAG00000044698.2)". Lineage: Eukaryota; Metazoa; Chordata; Mammalia; Carnivora; Felidae. The record is from RNAcentral.